Molecule: long non-coding RNA, 605 nt
Organism: Anser brachyrhynchus (Pink-footed goose)
Lineage: Eukaryota; Metazoa; Chordata; Aves; Anseriformes; Anatidae
Source: Ensembl
GAAACAAUUGUUUGAAAGUCUUUAGACACCAUAUCUGGUCUCUGUAUCCUCUCUGCCACAGGAAACCAUCUUAAACCCAGAGCAAGAAACGUAAAUUCACUUGGCUGUCCCUUGUCUCUAAGGCACCUGAUGCGUAAGUGGACUAGAGAAAGGAAAGAAAGAACAACUCUGAAGACCUACAGAUCAUCUUGCUGGCAGGGUCACGAUUUCUUCAGAUUGAGGUGGAAUUUUGGCUCAUGGAGAUCUGAUGUGAUAGGGAACACACUUUUCACCUGCCUUGCGUGGCACAGCUGAAUUACAAAGAGAAGCAAUGAUGAGAAUCGCUGCAGAAGACCUCAAGAGAUACACGAGCGGCUGUGGCUUCUGUAACUUUCAAAAUUUCCAGUGUCUGUGAGCAAAUUAAGAUAGAAAUGCAAAGUUCUGCCUGGCAAGAGAACGGAGAGCACCAGACUCAGGCUGUGGGUUAGUGCACCAGACUGUAAUCUGGGACACACGCAGCAGAGCACCAGCACUGAAAUAGCACCUGCACUGCCGUGCACACCAUAGUCCUGUGGACAAGAUGCUGUCAAAUCUCUUCGUCUUUAAAUCAUAUCAGCCAGCUUCGC